CUACGGGCGGCAGCAGUUUCGAAUAAUUCACAAUGGGCGCAAGCCUGAUGAUGCGACGUUACGUGAAGGAAGAAAGCUUUAAGUUGUAAACUUCUGUCGUUAAGGAACAAAAAAUUAAGUUGUACUUUUUAUAUUGAGUUAACUUAAAAAGGAAGCAGUGGCUAAUUUCGUGCCAGCAGCCGCGGUAAUACGGGAACUGCAAGCGUUGCUCGGUUUUAUUGGGCGUAAAGAGUACGUGGGCUGUUAUAUAUGUUAAUUGUUAAAUUUUAAAGUUAAUCUUUAAAUUUGCUGUUAAAACUAUAUAACUAGAAUUUCAAAGAGGUAAGUGGAAUUUCAAGUGUAGCGGUGAAAUGCGUAGAUAUUUGAAGGAACACCAAUGGCGAAAGCAACUUACUGGGUGAUAAUUGACGCUAAAGUACGAAAGUAUAGGGAGCAAAAGGGAUUAGAUACCCUUGUAGUC
This 460-nucleotide ribosomal RNA is filed under the name uncultured bacterium. RNAcentral's name for it is "partial 16S ribosomal RNA". It matches the Rfam family "Bacterial small subunit ribosomal RNA", at positions 339 to 795 of the family's 1533-position model. The record is from RNAcentral.